Molecule: ribosomal RNA, 302 nt
Filed under: uncultured bacterium
Lineage: Bacteria
Description: partial 16S ribosomal RNA
Rfam family: Bacterial small subunit ribosomal RNA
Source: RNAcentral
GCAGUAGCCGCGGUAAUACGGAGGGUGCAAGCGUUAAUCGGAAUUACUGGGCGUAAAGCGCACGCAGGCGGUCUGACAAGUCAGAUGUGAAAUCCCCGGGCUUAACCUGGGAACUGCAUUUGAAACUGUCAGGCUGGAGUCUUGUAGAGGGGGGUAGAAUUCCAGGUGUAGCGGUGAAAUGCGUAGAGAUCUGGAGGAAUACCGGUGGCGAAGGCGGCCCCCUGGACAAAGACUGACGCUCAGGUGCGAAAGCGUGGGGAGCAAACAGGAUUAGAUACCCCGGUAGUCCCUGUCUCUUAUAC